Molecule: ribosomal RNA, 253 nt
Filed under: uncultured bacterium
Lineage: Bacteria
Description: partial 16S ribosomal RNA
Rfam family: Bacterial small subunit ribosomal RNA
Source: RNAcentral
UGCGUAGGGUGCAAGCGUUGUCCGGAAUUAUUGGGCGUAAAGAGCUCGUAGGCGGUCUGUCGCGUCGGAUGUGAAAAUCCAGGGCUCAACCCUGGACCUGCAUUCGAUACGGGCAGACUAGAGUUCGGUAGGGGAGACUGGAAUUCCUGGUGUAGCGGUGAAAUGCGCAGAUAUCAGGAGGAACACCGGUGGCGAAGGCGGGUCUCUGGGCCGAAACUGACGCUGAGGAGCGAAAGCGUGGGGAGCAAACAGG